UCGAUGAAGAACGCAGCGAAAUGCGAUAAGUAGUGUGAAUUGCAGAAUUCAGUGAAUCAUCGAAUCUUUGAACGCACAUUGCGCCCUAUGGUAUUCCGUAGGGCAUGCCUGUUCGAGCGUCAUUCAAACCUUCAAGCUCUGCUUGGUGUUGGGCGUCUGUCCUGCCUCACGGCGCGGACUCGCCUCAAAUCUAUUGGCGGCCGGCACGUUGGCUUCGAGCGCAGCAGAAACGCGAACUCGGGCCCGACGGAUCGGCUCCCAGAAGCUACCCCCAUGAAUUUGACCUCGGAUCAGGUAGGGAUACCCGCUGAACUUAA
This 317-nucleotide ribosomal RNA is filed under the name uncultured fungus. RNAcentral describes it as "eukaryotic LSU rRNA". The stretch from base 1 to 122 matches the Rfam family "5.8S ribosomal RNA", at positions 33 to 154 of the family's 154-position model. Lineage: Eukaryota; Fungi. The record is from RNAcentral.